Odocoileus virginianus texanus is the source of this 744-nucleotide non-coding RNA. The record is from RefSeq and is a predicted model, not a curated record. NCBI's taxonomy places the organism in Eukaryota, Metazoa, Chordata, Mammalia, Artiodactyla, Cervidae.
UCCACCUCUUGGCUGUUGAGAAUAGUGUGAUUCAUGUGUGUGUACAUGUAUUUGGACACCUGUUUUCAAUUCUGUUGGUACAUGCAUCAGAGUAGCACUGCUAGAUCACAGGAUAAUUCUAUGUUUAACUGUUUGAGUAACUGACAGAAUUCUCUACAGAGGCAAACUGUAUUCCCAUCAGUAAUGGAUGAAGUUUCCAAUUUCUCCACAUCCUUCCUAAUAAUAAUUUCUCCACAUCCUUCCUCUUUAAAAUGAUGAUGGUGAGUUUGCCACUGCCCUCCUUGCGGUGAGAACCGUGACACUGAUUUCCAGGACAAGGCGUCUGAGGACACAGGUGGUGAAGGUGAGGGGGGAGCUGGGAACAGGCAGCGCUGGUCCCGGAAGCCUGUGAGCCGUGGAGCUUGUCCAGAGGCUGUGGCCGACCUUCCAGAGCGAGCGAAGGUCUGAUGUCUAUUCGUAGGAGAAAGCUUAACUCAGGCUGUGUUUCCUGACCCUUUUCAAGACAAAGAUAAUGAUGAUGGAAUUCUAAAUUCAUGAACUGACUUGGACCACACGAUUGGCUCUUCACCUGGAGACUUGAGUUCAUCUUCUUCCUUAGUUGUCUGUCCCCUUCAUGAAGUGGCAUUUCAAUGUUGAGCCACUGAAGGGUCACUAAAAAAGGCCGUGUGAAAUUUGCUCCUGCGUUUAUUGUUUCAUAAAACCUGAAAUACACUUCUUCCGUUGCUCAGUCUCUCUUCUGUGUCA